RNAcentral lists this long non-coding RNA (1022 nucleotides) under Prunus persica (peach). RNAcentral describes it as "long non-coding RNA (PPER_LNC001397)". The record is from RNAcentral. Lineage: Eukaryota; Viridiplantae; Streptophyta; Magnoliopsida; Rosales; Rosaceae.
UUUUCCAGUUUCAAAGUUCAUUCAGAAGUGUCCUUUUGAAGAACACAUGUAAAAUAUGAGUGUUAUCUAUCAAUAAAAUCUUUCAAUCAAGAUUUUCUGUAAGUUUGCAAUUUCAUUAUCAUCAUUAUUUUCAGUUAAAUAUUAUUGCAAUUUCAUUAUCAUCAUUAUUUUCAGUUAAAUAUUAUUGCAAUUUCAUUAUCAGUUUUAUUUAACUGCAGUUAUAUAUAUAUAAUAUGUUUUCAUCUCUCUGCAGUUUGCUAUUUUCUUCCUGUUCGUUUGUUAUUGUUUUGGUUCUACAAAGUUUCGGAUAUCAACAAUAGCCACUUCGUGAACUAAAUCAAAAGGCUAGAACUCAUUAACCAUUUAGAAAUCAAAACAGAAUUGAAGCUUUUAAAAUUACUUUCAUGGGUUAGGAUCAGUUUGAGUUGUACGUAACCCAAAUCCAUGAUAAGCUUCUCUAACCUUAAUUGAGAAGAAUGACAUUGACAAUAAAAAUUAACCUUACAUAUUUCUUACUUGAUUAUUGUGGCUUCAAAAUAGUGCUUCAACAAUCCAACAAGAAAAAUUGAAGAAAAAGAAUGAGAAGCGUAGCUCUGGACUAAGGGACAUGGAAGAUAAGGUGUGAAGAUGAAUGAUGGGAAGUAGAAGAAUGAGGAGAAAGAGAUGCGAACGUGAAAACAUAUGGGUUUUUUUUUUUUGGAAUUCUGAAAUUUUCGUUAAACUCUAGCGCCUCUCCAAACUGAUUGCCACAUAAUCAGAAAAUGAAAGCAUAUUUAUACCAGCCUUCCCUUAUAGCUUUCUUUUACAACCAUUUUUAACAAUAAGUUAUUUUCUUAUAGUUUACCAAACAAAGAUAGGCUUCCCAAAUUAAAAAAAAAUAAAAUAAAAUUAUUUUUUACUCCAAAUAAUCAACGCCAAAUAGACUCUUAAAGUGAUUAUAUAAAAAAAUAAUUCUUUAUAUUAAGUGAUUUUUGGCCCAUCAAAAAUUAAUGAACCAUAUAUCUAACAAAAGCUCCAAAUAA